AGUCCAGACUCCUACGGGAGGCAGCAGUGGGGAAUAUUGCACAAUGGGGGAAACCCUGAUGCAGCAACGCCGCGUGAGUGAAGAAGUAUUUCGGUAUGUAAAGCUCUAUCAGCAGGGAAGAAGAAAGACGGUACCUGACUAAGAAGCCCCGGCUAACUACGUGCCAGCAGCCGCGGUAAUACGUAGGGGGCAAGCGUUAUCCGGAUUUACUGGGUGUAAAGGGAGCGUAGACGGCAUAGCAAGUCUGAAGUGAAAGCCCGUGGCUCAACCGCGGAACUGCUUUGGAAACUGUAAAACUGGAGUGCAGGAGAGGUAAGCGGAAUUCCUAGUGUAGCGGUGAAAUGCGUAGAUAUUAGGAGGAACACCAGUGGCGAAGGCGGCUUACUGGACUGUAACUGACGUUGAGGCUCGAAGGCGUGGGGAGCAAACAGGAUUAGAUACCCUUGUA
This 448-nucleotide ribosomal RNA is filed under the name uncultured bacterium. RNAcentral's name for it is "partial 16S ribosomal RNA". It matches the Rfam family "Bacterial small subunit ribosomal RNA", at positions 328 to 792 of the family's 1533-position model. The record is from RNAcentral.